This 395-nucleotide ribosomal RNA is filed under the name uncultured eukaryote. RNAcentral describes it as "SSU rRNA". It matches the Rfam family "Eukaryotic small subunit ribosomal RNA", at positions 592 to 985 of the family's 1831-position model. The record is from RNAcentral.
CAAUAGCGUAUAUUAAAGUUGUUGCGGUUAAAAAGCUCGUAGUUGGAUUUCUGUUGAGGAUGGGCGGUCCGCACAUCGUGCGUGUAUCUGUUACAGCCUCGGCAUCCUCUUGAAGAACGAACUGUGAUUUAUUUCGUGGUUCGGAAUUCAAGACUUUUACUUUGAGGAAAUUAGAGUGUUCACGGCAAGCAAUCGCUUUGAAUACAUUAGCAUGGAAUAAUAAUAUAGGACCUUGGUACUAUUUUGUUGGUUUUCUAGAACUAAGGUAAUGAUUAAUAGGGAUAAUUGGGGGCGAUUCGUAUUAACGCGUCAGAGGUGGAAUUCUUGGAUUGCGUUACGACGAACUACUGACGAAAGCUAUUUGCCAAGGAUUGUUUUCUAUUGAUCAAGAAACG